This 240-nucleotide unclassified non-coding RNA is filed under the name soil metagenome. RNAcentral describes it as "partial contains 5.8S ribosomal RNA, internal transcribed spacer 2, and large subunit ribosomal RNA". The record is from RNAcentral.
AAGACUAUAGACCUGCGGAGUACCUGCGGAAGGAUCAUUAUCGUAUUGUAACAAUUGGGGGGGCCACCGUGGGCUGUCGCUGACCCUUUGAAAGGGGGGUCGUGCACGCCCCCAUAGUGUCAUCCUCAUACAAUCCAACUCACCUCUGUGCAUCACCGCGUGGGUUCCUUUCUGGGUCGAGUCAGACUGGCUCAGAAAAAAGGGGCUUGCGUUUUCCAUACAAAUACCCUUAUAAAUUCA